This 377-nucleotide ribosomal RNA is filed under the name uncultured bacterium. RNAcentral's name for it is "bacterial SSU rRNA". It matches the Rfam family "Bacterial small subunit ribosomal RNA", at positions 32 to 389 of the family's 1533-position model. The record is from RNAcentral.
AAUCAACGCUGGCGGCGUGCCUCAGACAUGCAAGUCGAACGAGAAAUCCCGAGCAAUCGGGAAAGUAAAGUGGCGCACGGGUGAGUAACACGUAGGUAAUCUACCUUCGGGUGGGGAAUAACCCAGGGAAACUUGGGCUAACACCGCAUAAUGCAGCGGCACCACAUGGUGACAGUUGUUAAAGCGGGGGAUUUUAGGACCUCGCGCCUGAAGAGGAGCCUGCGGCGGAUUAGCAGUUGGUAAGGUAACGGCUUACCAAGGCGACGAUCCGUAGCCGGCCUGAGAGGGCGGUCGGCCACACUGACACUGACAUACGGGUCAGACUCCUACGGGAGGCAGCAGUCGGGAAUUUUGGGCAAUGGGCGAAAGCCUGACCC